UACGGAGGGUGCAAGCGUUGUCCGGAAUUAUUGGGCGUAAAGCGCGCGCAGGUGGGAUCUUAAGUCCAUUUUGAAAGUUCGGAGCUCAACUCCGUGAGGGGAUGGAAACUGAGAUUCUUGAGUAUCGGAGAGGAAAGCGGAAUUCCCCGUGUAGCGGUGAAAUGCGUAGAUAUGGGGAGGAACACCAGUGGCGAAGGCGGCUUUCUGGACGAUGUCUGACACUGAGGCGCGAAAGCCAGGGGAGCAAACA
RNAcentral lists this ribosomal RNA (250 nucleotides) under uncultured bacterium. RNAcentral describes it as "partial 16S ribosomal RNA". It matches the Rfam family "Bacterial small subunit ribosomal RNA", at positions 524 to 774 of the family's 1533-position model. RNAcentral also lists the same sequence under 1 other name. The record is from RNAcentral.